GGGGGCGACAGGCUUCGACAGGGGCUUGUAUAGAUCUUUGGAUGCACGUCGGGCUUGCUUACUAGCUCGUUAAAACAAUAAGCAAAACACAAAUGCUAAUCAAGAAUUAGCUCUUGCUGCCUAAUUAACUUUAGCUACAGCAAUGUCUUACCGGAAGUUCGCCUGAUGCGACCGGAUAAGGCAUAACUCAGUUCAGGCUAGGGCGCGUCCUCCACCUGCGGGCGCGGCUUAAAGUUAGCCGGGUAUGUUGAUGAAGAGGUCUUGUCGGCUCACCUGCUCUUCGUCAGCGAGAUAAAGUGAACCGAAUAAACGUGUAGAUUUCACUGGUCGCAACCUUUGGAUGCGGGUUCGAUUCCCGCCGCCUCCACCA
RNAcentral lists this transfer-messenger RNA (370 nucleotides) under Pyrinomonadaceae. RNAcentral's name for it is "OLB17 sp016789265 Standard tmRNA". It matches the Rfam family "transfer-messenger RNA". From Rfam's summary of the family: Bacterial tmRNA, also known as 10Sa RNA or SsrA, is named for its dual tRNA and mRNA-like properties. Its role is to liberate the mRNA from a stalled ribosome. To accomplish this part of the tmRNA is used as a reading frame that ends in a translation stop signal. RNAcentral also lists the same sequence under 2 other names. Lineage: Bacteria; Pseudomonadati; Acidobacteriota; Blastocatellia; Blastocatellales. The record is from RNAcentral.